GAACAGCCAGUGUUGCAAACCUGGCAGCAUCUAGGGCUCUUUUUUCUUUCCCCGUUUUCACUGUUAAAAUUCAUCUCCGACAUGGCACCCAGGGCUGAAAUCAACAGUCUCUUAUCAGAUCCCAGAUCUGUCAGCCGAUGUCUACCAGCCGCCUGGAGCCAAAAGCCUCUUAGCACAUGUGUGACUCGAGCUGAAAAGGGGUUGGGACGACAGCGCAGGCAGCUUUGUUCUGGCGCCCUUGUUCCCAAACAUUUGCUCAUUUCGAGCCCGGGAGGCAGCGUCUCAGAUCCACGGCUUCCAGGCCUGGUUCAAGCCUUGGUCUCUGUUCCGCAGCCACCAGCCACCAGCCCGGGGCCAUGGGGCCAGCGGCCAUGCUCAUCCCGCAUCCCUCGGCUCCUGCUCUUUCCUGCAAACCCAGGCGUCUGACCAGUGGACCGACCUGGUCCAAGGAGCCAGGCCAAAGCGAGGGGACCCUCGGGCCCUGAGAACAGCCGCCUGGCCUCCCUGUGCCCACCUGCUCUGCAGGGACCCGCAGGUCUCCAGCCUUACGGAAGGGUCACUCCUCUGCAGCUCGGCUGCUUGACCUCCCUCCGGAGGCUCCCUCCCCCCGCUUUACUUCCCUUUGUCAACAUCCCAGCCUCGGGCUCCUGCGAGGGGCCUUAGUUUAAACUUGAUUCUCCAUCACGGUAAUUCUUUUUUUUUGUCUUUUUAGGGCUGCACCCAAGGCAUAUGGAAGUUCCCAGGACAGGGAUUGAACUGGAGAUGCAGCUGCCAACCUAUCCCACAGCCACAGCUCCACAGACACAGGCGUGUCUGACCUACCCCACGGCUCACGGCAACACCAGAUCCUUAACCCACUGAGCGAGGCCAGGAAUCGAACCUCGUCCUCAUGGAUUCUAGUCAGGUUCAUUACCGCUGAGCCACUCCUGUCACAGUAAUUUUAUAUUUAUAUGUAUUUAUAAAGAGGUAUUUAUAUACUUAUAUUAAUACAUUAAUAUAUCAGUAUGUUAAUACUGAUACCCAUUAUUCUUUAUAUAUUUAUAUUAAUAUUUAUAUAUCUAUAAAGAGGUAUUUAUAUAUUUAUUUACAUUAGUAUAUAAAUACUGUAUCAAUGCUAAUAUUAAUCUAGCAUUAAUCUUUAUAUGUUUAUAUUUAUGUAUUUAGAGGCGUUUAUAUAUUUAUUUACAUUAAUACAUUAAUACUAUAUCGAUAUGUUAAUGUUAACCCGUUAUUCAUCUUUAUAUAUUUAUGUAAUCUUUUUUAUACACAUUUUAAGGCUUUUCCCCCCAAAAGUCUAGAGGGCGUGCGCAUGUGCCCAGCACCCUAAAUCUUCGAGUGACAUCAUCCUUUCCUCCAAGACUCUUACUGAUUCUGUUUCAUAGAUCAAAAAUUAAUCUACAUAGUAGUCCCCGUUAUUGCUUCCUUGUUUGGUUUUUCAUUCCCUAGCUAAUUCAAAUUUUAUUUGAUGAUACUGUGAAAUUUUUUUUUGUCUUUUGUCUUUUUACGGCUGCACCUGCGGCACAUGGAGGUUCCAUGCGGCAGGAUCCGAGCUGCGUCUGCAACCUACACCACAGCUCAGAGCAACAUCAGAUCCUUAACCCACCGAGUGAGGCCAGGGAUGGAACCCUCGCCCUCAUGGAUACUAGUCGGGUUCAUUAACUGCUAAGCCACGACGGGAACGCUGAUACUGUGAACUAUUGAGGAGGUACACAGUGUAUAUAGAAUAAUUCAGGGAACUACUCUGUAUCCACCAUCCGAUUGAAGAAAUAAAACCGUGCCCAUACAUUGGGGCUCUCAGGGUAUCAGCUCCAGGCUGCAUCCGUAUUGAACCCCGCACGAGUCGAUAAACACCACCAUGAAAUCAGACCUUAGCAUCACAGUGCUUUGCUUUACACAAUUAUUACAUAGGUCUGCAUCUCUGCACAGGAUAGAGUAUCCUGUCCACGUUUUAUUUAUUUUUUUUAUCAAUGAACCUCAGCAUAUGUAUUCCUCUGUGACCCUUUCCUUAUCCAAUAUUACAUUUUUGAGAUUCCUGCAUGUUAACAUAUAACACACUGACUUCUGCCUUUUCAUGGCUGUGUAGUACUCCCCACAUGGAUAUAUCACAAUUCACGGAUCUCUUGAUUUACUGAUGACAUUUAAAGUGCUUAUGGUUUUUUACAUAACAAUUUGAGAAAUGCUGUGAACAUUCUAGGACUGGUCCUCUUUCUUCUUUCAAAGUGGGGGCAUUGUCUUAACAGAUUUUCUAAUAUUAAACCAGCUUUGGAUUCCUGGGAGAAACCCAACUUAGUCGUGAUGUAUUUUUAUUCUUAUGAAUUACUGGAUUCAGUCUGAAACUUUAACACCAAAGCCUGUAGGCAGUCACAGGUGGCAGGGGGCUGAUCCCAGACUCAGGACCAUCCUUGACAGGCCUCGUAACCGACUCCCUUUUGACAGUUCCAGGCACACAGCCCAAGCCUCCCCUGUGCCCCCACCCCCAGAACGCCCUCCACCUGGCUCCCAUCC
RNAcentral lists this long non-coding RNA (2505 nucleotides) under Sus scrofa (pig). Its description in RNAcentral is "lncRNA (ENSSSCG00000057555.1)". Lineage: Eukaryota; Metazoa; Chordata; Mammalia; Artiodactyla; Suidae. The record is from RNAcentral.